GACGGGCGAGGCAAAAGAUAUCCGGAAUCACUGGGCGUAGAGCGUCUGUAGGUGGUGAUGCAAGUCACUGGUGCAAAACUCUGGCUCAACCGGAGGAAAGCCAGUGAAACUGCAUGACUAGAGUGUGGGAGAGGUAGAAGGAAUUCCCUGAGUAGCGGUGAAAUGCGUAGAUACAGGGAAGAACACCGGAGGCGAAAGCGUUCUACUGGAACACAACUGACAAUGAGAGACGAAAGCUAGGGGAGCGAAUGGG
RNAcentral lists this ribosomal RNA (253 nucleotides) under uncultured bacterium. RNAcentral describes it as "partial 16S ribosomal RNA". It matches the Rfam family "Bacterial small subunit ribosomal RNA", at positions 524 to 776 of the family's 1533-position model. The record is from RNAcentral.